Molecule: ribosomal RNA, 467 nt
Filed under: uncultured bacterium
Lineage: Bacteria
Description: partial 16S ribosomal RNA
Rfam family: Bacterial small subunit ribosomal RNA
Source: RNAcentral
GACGAACGCUGGCGGCGUGCUUAACACAUGCAAGUCGAACGGAAAGGCCCUGCUUUUGUGGGGUGCUCGAGUGGCGAACGGGUGAGUAACACGUGAGUAACCUGCCCUUGACUUUGGGAUAACUUCAGGAAACUGGGGCUAAUACCGGAUAGGAGCUCCUGCUGCAUGGUGGGGGUUGGAAAGUUUCGGCGGUUGGGGAUGGACUCGCGGCUUAUCAGCUUGUUGGUGGGGUAGUGGCUUACCAAGGCUUUGACGGGUAGCCGGCCUGAGAGGGAGACCGGCCACAGUGUGACAGGGGUACGGCCCAGACGCAUACGGGGAGCAGCAGUGGGGAAUAUAGCAAGAUAGGCGGAGGCCGGAUGCAGCAACGCCGCGUGCGAGAUGACGGCCUUCGGGUUGUAAACCGCGUUCGCCUGUGACGAAGCGUGAGUGACGGUAAUGGGGAAAGAAGCACCGGCUAACUACGU